GAUGAACGCUGGCGGCGUGCCUAAUACAUGCAAGUCGAACGCUGGAGAUCUAGCUUGCUAGAUCGAAGGAGUGGCGAACGGGUGAGUAAUACAUAAGCAACCUACCCACGAAGACUGGGAUAAUCUCUGGAAACGGGGACUAAUACCGGAUAGGUAAUCGGAAGGCAUCUUCUGAUUAUUAAAGGUUAAAAACACUGGUGGAUGGGCUUAUGGCGCAUUAGCUAGUUGGUAAGGUAACGGCUUACCAAGGCAAUGAUGCAUAGCCGAGUUGAGAGACUGAUCGGCCACAUUGGGACUGAGACACGGCCCAAACUCCUACGGGAGGCAGCAGUAGGGAAUCUUCCACAAUGGACGCAAGUCUGAUGGAGCAACGCCGCGUGAGUGAAGAAGGGUUUCGGCUCGUAAAGCUCUGUUGGUAGUGAAGAAAGAUAGAGGUAGUAACUGGCCUUUAUUUGACGGUAAUUACUUAGAAAGUCACGGCUAACUACGUGCCAGCAGCCGCGGUAAUACGUAGGUGGCAAGCGUUGUCCGGAUUUAUUGGGCGUAAAGCGAGUGCAGGCGGUUCAAUAAGUCUGAUGUGAAAGCCUUCGGCUCAACCGGAGAAUUGCAUCAGAAACUGUUGAACUUGAGUGCAGAAGAGGAGAGUGGAACUCCAUGUGUAGCGGUGGAAUGCGUAGAUAUAUGGAAGAACACCAGUGGCGAAGGCGGCUCUCUGGUCUGCAACUGACGCUGAGGCUCGAAAGCAUGGGUAGCGAACAGG
Molecule: ribosomal RNA, 760 nt
Filed under: uncultured Lactobacillus sp.
Lineage: Bacteria; Bacillati; Bacillota; Bacilli; Lactobacillales; Lactobacillaceae
Description: bacterial SSU rRNA
Rfam family: Bacterial small subunit ribosomal RNA
Source: RNAcentral